GUGAAGAAGGCCUUCGGGUUGUAAAGCACUUUCAGUUGUGAGGAAAAGUUAGUAGUUAAUACCUGCUAGCCGUGACGUUAACAACAGAAGAAGCACCGGCUAACUCCGUGCCAGCAGCCGCGGUAAUACGGAGGGUGCGAGCGUUAAUCGGAAUUACUGGGCGUAAAGCGCACGCAGGCGGUUUGUUAAGCUAGAUGUGAAAGCCCCGGGCUCAACCUGGGAUGGUCAUUUAGAACUGGCAGACUAGAGUCUUGGAGAGGGGAGUGGAAUUCCAGGUGUAGCGGUGAAAUGCGUAGAUAUCUGGAGGAACAUCAGUGGCGAAGGCGACUCCCUGGCCAAAGACUGACGCUCAUGUGCGAAAGUGUGGGUAGCGAACAGGAUUAGAUACCCUGGUAGUCCACACCGUAAACGCUGUCUACUAGCUGUGUGUGCCUUUAAGGCGUGCGUAGCGAAGCUAACGCGCUAAGUAGACCGCCUGGGGAGUACGGCCGCAAGGUUAAAACUCAAAUGAAUUGACGGGGGCCCGCACAAGCGGUGGAGCAUGUGGUUUAAUUCGAUGCAACGCGAAGAACCUUACCUACACUUGACAUGCUGAGAAGUUACUAGAGAUAGUUUCGUGCCUUCGGGAACUCAGACACAGGUGCUGCAUGGCUGUCGUCAGCUCGUGUCGUGAGAUGUUGGGUUAAGUCCCGCAACGAGCGCAACCCUUGUCCUUAGUUGCCAGCCUUAAGUUGGGCACUCUAAGGAGACUGCCGGUGACAAACCGGAGG
Molecule: ribosomal RNA, 770 nt
Filed under: Alteromonas sp. R122
Lineage: Bacteria; Pseudomonadati; Pseudomonadota; Gammaproteobacteria; Alteromonadales; Alteromonadaceae
Description: bacterial SSU rRNA
Rfam family: Bacterial small subunit ribosomal RNA
Source: RNAcentral